UCAUCAAAAGACAAAAAUAAUGUUAAGUCGUCGAGAUUCAACAACGAUGGAAUAUUACUGCAAAAAAAGAAAAAUGGAAAACAGUUUCGCCAAUUUUUCACACUAUGAUUUCCAUUAUGUGUGCCCAAAAAGCGGACAAUUUAUUUCAAAAGGAAAUAAAAAACGGGAGGUGUUAUCCAAAAAAACGAACUGCCCAGUUACACUGAUUGCGCGAGUGGACAUUAAAAGAAAAAGUCUAAUUGUUAAAACAUGGAAAAACACACACUGCCAUGAACCAGAAGUUGCGAUACAGAAACAAAAUACUGCGAGUACAUCUCUCACUGUCAAAACCAAACCUACAACAUAAAAAAACUCAUCCCAUGACCAGAAGAUGCAACAAAAUAGUACCGCUCCUUCAGCAUCAAACAUCCAGACACUUCAGGAAAAAGAUAUACAGGAUCAAAGCAUUGUUGAUGCAUCUGUAUCUGACGAUACCAAUUUUUC
Cotesia glomerata is the source of this 483-nucleotide long non-coding RNA. RefSeq lists it as uncharacterized. The record is from RefSeq and is a predicted model, not a curated record. NCBI's taxonomy places the organism in Eukaryota, Metazoa, Arthropoda, Insecta, Hymenoptera, Braconidae. The transcript is spliced from 4 exons.